AUCUCAAUUCUCAAACAAGGAAAUGUAAGCUUAAAACAACCAGAGGGCUUCCUGAAAUCAAGCUAAAACUGGACAAGUAGACAAAAAACGGCCCUGGAAUUAAGCUAAGUCUCACAAAAAGUGGGCAUAAACUUUCUUCUGUAUCAUCAUGUCCUUCAACUUUUCUGCCUUAACUGGCACCCUCUACUAAUUUUCUUCCACCUCUUCCCCAAUAAUGCGCCCUGUAAUCUUACUCAGAACAACAUUCAAACACGAUGUCUAAUUAGUCACAAUCCACAGGUGCCACUCUUUUUGCAAAACGAAAAAAGCACAUGAAUACCAUCAUUUUCAUAGACGCAAGCAGGAAAAAUGUGAAUCAACAGUUUGGCACAGUGAAGAGAGGAAUUUACAAGAGGCCAGUAGAGUUGAAAGGUCUAUAUAUAUGUGUAUAUAUAUUUUUAUAUACUUGUAUAGAUAUACACCCAGGAUCACUUUGGGAAAACUGUGGGUGCUUGCCAUCAUCACCUCUCGGGCAAGUCUGGUGCCUGCCAUCAUCACCUUACUGGGCUGUGUCCCGUGCUCACAGCCCCACACAUGCAUGAUUAUUGUGGCAGUUGCGGGGCAAUAGAAGGGAAUGAGUAUGGAGAAGCUCAACUCCGAGCUGUACUUGCAGAACUGCUACAUAAUCCAAGAAAAUGAGAGGCUAAGAAAGAAAGCUCAGCAGCUCAACCAGGAAAAUCAGGCUCUGCUGGCAGAGAUGAAGGAGAAACUCCCCAAGACAAGCUCCAGUUCGAACCCAAAUCGAGAUCCCAGCCAUGGCUCAAGUUCCACUUCCACCUCAAAUCCUAGUCGAUCAAGCAAACCCUGAUCAUAUGAACACAAUGGCAUCACUAAGGUCCCCACCCUCCCUUGUACAAAACCAUAUGGGCAGAGUAUCAGUGGCAUCUUUUCUUCGCAAUACUUAUUACGAAACCAAAUAUGCAUCUCUUAAAAAAAUUUAUUCGUGGGGGCAAAAUAAAGUUUUUGACCUUUGGAAGAUGAAUUGAAUAUGAUGUUCUAGCUUAUUCA
This is a long non-coding RNA of Vitis vinifera (wine grape), 1047 nucleotides long. RefSeq lists it as uncharacterized. The transcript has 2 exons. NCBI's taxonomy places the organism in Eukaryota, Viridiplantae, Streptophyta, Magnoliopsida, Vitales, Vitaceae. The record is from RefSeq and is a predicted model, not a curated record.